Molecule: non-coding RNA, 2493 nt
Organism: Schizosaccharomyces pombe (fission yeast)
Lineage: Eukaryota; Fungi; Ascomycota; Schizosaccharomycetes; Schizosaccharomycetales; Schizosaccharomycetaceae
Source: the annotation of a GenBank genome assembly
AAUACUCUAAUCUACAUAAACAUUUGAGGAAAUAGAGAACCAACAAAAUUAGUUUGUGUUUGAAAUUUAUUAAAAAAAUGAAUGCUGAUCCCCAAGGAAGUUCAAAUGAUGAAAACUAAACAAGAAAACAAAAAAGAAAAACGUACCAAAAACCCAAGAUUCCCACAAAAAAACGGAUUCAAAAAUAACAGAAAAAAAUACCAAGGAAAAAAAUUAAAUAAUCUGAGUAAUUGAUCCUUCAGCUAUACUGGCAGCCUUUUCCAAGCUUUUCUUAUCACUAGAGCUAUCGUCGAAGCUAUUGCUGUCGAGUUUGCUGGCAUCAUAAAAUGUGCUCCACCUGGAGGCUGGAAUACUCAGCCAGCUAAUGAGACCAAAAAUUGUGAUAGCACCAAAUAUCACGGGAGCAUAGUUGAAAUUUUUACCUGUGACAGGAUAAGCUUUUGGCGAGAAUAAAAUAACGGCGGUAAAUAAAUUCCAUAAAAAGGUGAUAAGUUGAAAUGGCUUGGACAGUUUACCAAGAGACCAUUCUGAUUUUGGAAAAUCGUUUCUGGAUAAAAAUAGGCGACCAAAGGCAACAGCUGCGUAAGCCAUAAUAGUAGGAACAGCGGCGGCUGACAGUAAAGAUGUAAAAGCUACAGCACUAGGCAAAUUAGAGCACAAAAGUGCCGCUGAAAUCAAGAAAAUAAAUGUAACGGCAUUGGUCGGUUGACCAUGUGAAUCUACCUUUCUUAACCACCCGGAAAAUGGUAAAACGCCAUCUCGGGCAACAGCAAAUACUAAGCGGCUUGAAGCAACUAUCGAUAACGAAGUAUCAAAAAUCAUUCCCAAAAUACCUACAACAUUCAUAAAAACAUGAGCUCGUUUACCCAAAGCAUACGCAUAAAAACUAACAAAAGGUUGUUGAGAAUUGGACUUUAUAAGUUCAUACAUAACAUUGGAAGGAGGAAGACAGUAUAAAAACAUGACAAUGAUACCAGUGCUGAGAAUAGCAUUGCUAAAGGCAGAGUAAAACAUACCGCGAGAGGCAGUCUUGCUAGCAUUUUUGGUUUCUUCAGCGACGUGACCUGCAGCAUCAUAGCCUACCAAAAUGCGUGCUGUGCAGAAAAAGGUAAGACACCAAGACCAUCCAUUAUUUACUUUUCCAAGAUCGUAAUUCGUGGAUUUCAUAAAAGCUUCAUCUCUAAACCCGUAUUUGGUAGAAACGGCAAUGGGAAGCCAAAUCAUGUUUAAAACAAAGUCAAGCAAAAUCACUGCAACCGAUACUCUAAAAAUAUAGCGAAACCACUUGGGAGGAAUAAAGUUUAAUAAAACACAUACGAGUAGUAUAGCCUCGCCAACAGCCCAUUGAACAGCACGAAAUUUUACAUCAGAAGAACUGACGGAAAACCCAGAAUUGAAGACGGGCAACUCACCGAAAAUAAACUUGGUGGUAGAUUGGCAAUUAACAGCUACAAAUGAUGUCCAAGCUACUACUACCCACCAAGCGACUAUAAAUCCAAUCAGACGACCAUACUUUUUGCCGCCUGCGGCAGAGGCCCAAAAGUACAGAGAACCAGCGGUAGGAAGAGCAGAGCAUACCUCUGCCAUUGUUGCAGCAGAGAUCAGUUGGAGAGGAAUUGCAAUAAUAUACGUGAUCCAGUAAGCUGAAGGUCCACCAGUCAGUAGGCCGAUAUAAAAAGAGCCUCGAAUAUUGCUCAUACAGUCGCAUGCUGCAAAAGAGCUAGCAAAGUUCUCAAAAAAAGCGUAUGUACGAUGAAGCUUUGGUUUGUAUCCCAUUUUUUGUAAAAGCGCUUCAUCCUUCUUGAUCUCGCUAACAGCGACAUCGCUUUCGCCAACUUGACAAAUACCUUGUUCCUUCGAAUUACCGAACAGCCUCAUGUUAGAUAAAUCUUGGACUGGUAACGAACGGAUACUUGAAAUUUCGGUACAUUGUAUUUAAAAUAUAUAUACAUGACCGGAAAAGGGCAUCCUGAAACUCGCACUUUUAGUAUUCACCGGAUACAUGGUGUGCAAUAAUCAAAACAAAAAGUCCGCCUUUUAUCGCAUCUGAUAUUUCGAGAUAAUACUAGAUGAUUAGAUAAUAUGUUAAAUGUAUUUAACAGUUUUCAACAAAUUCGCAUUUUUUAGCACUGCUUCCAAAAAAAAAAAAGCAACAAAGUAAUUAUAUAUUUUAGGUAAAUAUACUAAUACUUAUAAUACCUUUCGGCAAGCUUAAGCUACAUACUUUGCUUUAACUGUUUAAAGGAUAAAUCACAUUGGCGUCAACUGUCUUUAGGCUAAAUUUAACAAAUUAUAAGAAAACUCGUAGUUAAAAGUUUGCACAAAACAAUGCUACCCAUAAUGAUUGACACGCUGUCAAAAGGAGUUUUGCUUCGCUUUAUUAAUUUCGCAGUACAUAGUAAGCAAUGGAGAACUAAAAGUAAAAAAAAGACCCAUUGAGUAAUUAAAAGAUUUGAAUGAAUGAAUAUUUAAAAAGAAAAAACAAGUGUGAUU